GACAUGCAAGUCGAACGGUAACAGGUCUUGGGAUGCUGACGAGUGGCGAACGGGUGAGUAAUACAUCGGAACGUGCCCGAUCGUGGGGGAUAACGGAGCGAAAGCUUUGCUAAUACCGCAUACGAUCUACGGAUGAAAGCAGGGGACCGCAAGGCCUUGCGCGGACGGAGCGGCCGAUGGCAGAUUAGGUAGUUGGUGGGAUAAAAGCUUACCAAGCCGACGAUCUGUAGCUGGUCUGAGAGGACGACCAGCCACACUGGGACUGAGACACGGCCCAGACUCCUACGGGAGGCAGCAGUGGGGAAUUUUGGACAAUGGGCGAAAGCCUGAUCCAGCCAUGCCGCGUGCAGGAUGAAGGCCUUCGGGUUGUAAACUGCUUUUGUACGGAACGAAAA
This 395-nucleotide ribosomal RNA is filed under the name Acidovorax sp. '5.6 MW-14'. RNAcentral describes it as "bacterial SSU rRNA". It matches the Rfam family "Bacterial small subunit ribosomal RNA", at positions 52 to 451 of the family's 1533-position model. The record is from RNAcentral. Lineage: Bacteria; Pseudomonadati; Pseudomonadota; Betaproteobacteria; Burkholderiales; Comamonadaceae.